This 400-nucleotide ribosomal RNA is filed under the name phytoplankton environmental sample. RNAcentral describes it as "partial small subunit ribosomal RNA". It matches the Rfam family "Eukaryotic small subunit ribosomal RNA", at positions 587 to 985 of the family's 1831-position model. The record is from RNAcentral.
AGCUCCAAUAGCGUAUAUUAAAGUUGUUGCAGUUAAAAAGCUCGUAGUUGGAUUUCUGGUGGGAGUGACACGCCCGCCCUGUUUGGGUGGGGUCUGUUGUCGUCGCCCGCCAUCCUUGGGGAGAGCACGUCUGGCAUUAGGUUGUCGGGUGUGUGAUCCCCAUCCUUUACUGUGAAAAAAUUAGAGUGUUUAAAGCAGGCUUACGCCGUUGAAUACAUUAGCAUGGAAUAAUAAGAUAGGACUUUGGUGGUCUAUUUUGUUGGUUUGCACGCCAAGGUAAUGAUUAAUAGGGAUGGUUGGGGGUAUCCGUAUUUCGUAGUCAGAGGUGAAAUUCUUGGAUUUACGAAAGACGAACUACUGCGAAAGCAUUUACCAAGGAUGUUUUCAUUAAUCAAGAACG